UACGGGGGGGGCAAGCGUUGUUCGGAAUUACUGGGCUUAAAGAGUUCGUAGGCGGCAUUACAAGUAGGGUGUGAAAGCCCUCGGCUCAACCGAGGAAUUGCGCUCUAAACUGUCGUGCUAGAGGAACCUAGAGGUGAGCAGAACAGAUGGUGGAGCGGUGAAAUGCGUUGAUAUCAUCUGGAAUACCGGAGGCGAAGGCGGCUCACUGGGGGUUUUCUGACGCUGAGGAACGAAAGCCAGGGUAGCGAACGGG
RNAcentral lists this ribosomal RNA (253 nucleotides) under uncultured bacterium. Its description in RNAcentral is "partial 16S ribosomal RNA". It matches the Rfam family "Bacterial small subunit ribosomal RNA", at positions 524 to 776 of the family's 1533-position model. The record is from RNAcentral.